GCCUCCGUGGAUGGGCGGUAAAUUACCCUGAAAUUGUUAUCAAUGUCAUCAGCGUGGAUCUUAGCAGGGAGACGUGGGUUCGAAUCCUACCGGAGGCA
Molecule: non-coding RNA, 98 nt
Organism: Mycena leptocephala
Lineage: Eukaryota; Fungi; Basidiomycota; Agaricomycetes; Agaricales; Mycenaceae
Source: the annotation of a GenBank genome assembly